This 205-nucleotide long non-coding RNA is filed under the name Elaeis guineensis (African oil palm). Its description in RNAcentral is "long non-coding RNA (EGUI_LNC022643)". The record is from RNAcentral. Lineage: Eukaryota; Viridiplantae; Streptophyta; Magnoliopsida; Arecales; Arecaceae.
UCCCAUGCCGUUAGACUUUUUUUUAGGACUUCUCUAACACUAUGGUCAGGAAAUAUGCUUCUUUAAUAUGCAUAAAGAGAUGUCAGGAAAACACUUUCAUCGUGGAGGAUUUUGUAAUACUCGACCAGCCUAGCAUGGCCCACCUACUAACAUCCAGUGUCCUUGUCAUUCUCGCACUUAUAUGCAUUUUACUCUAAUCUAGCCA